Molecule: ribosomal RNA, 253 nt
Filed under: uncultured bacterium
Lineage: Bacteria
Description: partial 16S ribosomal RNA
Rfam family: Bacterial small subunit ribosomal RNA
Source: RNAcentral
UACGUAGGUGGCGAGCGUUAUCCGGAUUUACUGGGUGUAAAGGGAGCGUAGACGGUUAUGUAAGUCUGAAGUGAAAGCCCGGGGCCCAACCCCGGGACUGCUUUGGAAACUGUGUAACUAGAGUACAGGAGGGGCAGGCGGAAUUCCUGGUGUAGCGGUGAAAUGCGUAGAUAUCAGGAGGAACACCGGCGGCGAAGGCGGCCUGCUGGACUGAAACUGACGUUGAGGCUCGAAAGCGUGGGGAGCAAACAGG